AUACGGAGGAUCCAAGCGUUAUCCGGAAUCAUUGGGUUUAAAGGGUCCGUAGGCGGGCAAUUAAGUCAGAGGCGAAAGUUUGCGGCUCAACCGUAAAAUUGCCUUUGAAACUGGUUGUCUUGAAUUAGUAUGAAGUGGUUAGAAUGAGUAGUGUAGCGGUGAAAUGCAUAGAUAUUACUCAGAAUACCGAUUGCGAAGGCAGAUCACUAAUACUAUAUUGACGCUGAGGGACGAAAGCGUGGGGAGCGAACAGGAUUAGAUACCCCGGUAGUCC
Molecule: ribosomal RNA, 274 nt
Filed under: uncultured bacterium
Lineage: Bacteria
Description: partial 16S ribosomal RNA
Rfam family: Bacterial small subunit ribosomal RNA
Source: RNAcentral